Molecule: ribosomal RNA, 292 nt
Filed under: uncultured bacterium
Lineage: Bacteria
Description: partial 16S ribosomal RNA
Rfam family: Bacterial small subunit ribosomal RNA
Source: RNAcentral
GUGUCAGCAGCCGCGGUAAUACGAAGGGAGCUAGCGUUGUUCGGAAUUACUGGGCGUAAAGGGCGCGUAGGCGGGUUUCCAAGUCGGGGGUGAAAUUCCAGGGCUCAACCCUGGGACGGCCUUCGAUACUGGGAGCCUGGAGAUCGGGAGAGGUGAGUGGAAUUCCGAGUGUAGAGGUGAAAUUCGUAGAUAUUCGGAGGAACACCAGAAGCGAAGGCGGCUCACUGGCCCGAGACUGACGCUGAGGCGCGAAAGCGUGGGGAGCAAACAGGAUUAGAUACCCCCGUAGUCC